Rosa rugosa (rugosa rose) is the source of this 1259-nucleotide long non-coding RNA. RefSeq lists it as uncharacterized. The transcript is spliced from 3 exons. The record is from RefSeq and is a predicted model, not a curated record. NCBI's taxonomy places the organism in Eukaryota, Viridiplantae, Streptophyta, Magnoliopsida, Rosales, Rosaceae.
UCUUCCACUUACUAGUUAUUGAAUUUUCUGGUUUUAUCACAAAUUUAUAGUGGCAAAUACUUUGUUUAAAAAAAUUGAGGUGUGCUCUUUGUGUUUCAAGCAUUAAGAGAGGUAGUGCGACACUAGUUGUAUUUUACUCUACAUGUUGAUAGAUGGUGGUGUACCAGCUCCAGAAGAAAAGAAAGAAAAAUCUCUCACUCUCUCCCUCUCUGCCGAAACCAGCAACCAAAACAGAGCAUUCCUUCUCCAAGCUUGUUCUCGCUCCACAGGCCUUCGAAUCGACCCAGACCACGUUCCACAGCUUCGCCUCUUCCUUUCGCAGCUGCCGGUAACAGCCUUUCGCCGUCUCGUGGGCCGUACACGGCGGUGGAGCACGAGGCCGGUUUACCCCCGUUUUGAUUUCAAGCUUGAUAUCUCAAGUUACCAUUCACCACUCCUCACCAAACUCCAUCCACAAGCUCACCUCAACGUCCUGAAGCUCCCAGAAGUGGCCUUGCACGGCGGCGCUACUCGUGGUGGCGGCUGGAAGCCAGACCCGAUCAAAUCGAAAACCAAAGCUUCGAUCGACAUAUCUCGCGCUACAGGAUGUUGUUUUGAGUGUUUCUUGAACUGGUGAACUCAGAGUGAGGAUCUGAACAACUUUCCAGAAGGCAUCGAGGCCUGAAAUUGAAGUUUUUACGUCGAUCGGAGCCCUCGCCGGAUUCUGCAAAAUUCUGCAAAUUUUCCGACCACCGAAGCUUUCGAUCGGUAUAUCUCGAGCUACAGACCAUAUUUUUCUGUGAUUCUUGAACCAAUGCGUUCGUCUUGAGUUUCUUAACAACUCUCUAGAAGGAAUCGAAGCCUGAAAUUGAAGUUUUGACGUCGAAAUCAAGCCUUGCCGGAUUCUGCAAAUUUCGCCGGAUUCUGGAAAUUUUCCGGCCACCUCGACUGUUCUAGGUUAUUGACGGUUUGAGUUGGUGGACGAUUGUGGAUCGUAUUUUGAGCUGAAUUGAAGACGCAGCGGGAUUAUCGAGCGGGAAAUCCUACAGGUCAGGAGAACCAGGACGGUGAUCGGGCUGCUUAGAGUAGUGUUAUGUGAAUUACAGCAUUAUAUUGUGAGGUUUGUUAUGCUCAUUUAGAGCUUUGCAAUUUUACUUUGUAAGAGUGAAUUGUAAUAAUUAACUCGAGGUUUUCGAGUUUUUGUGUUGAGUGGCGAGUGGUGUGUUUGUUUGUGAGAAAAAAAUUCAGAACGUUAUUUGUAUUAAUUGUUUAUUCAUGUU